Hordeum vulgare subsp. vulgare (domesticated barley) is the source of this 2229-nucleotide long non-coding RNA. RefSeq lists it as uncharacterized. The transcript has 4 exons. NCBI's taxonomy places the organism in Eukaryota, Viridiplantae, Streptophyta, Magnoliopsida, Poales, Poaceae. The record is from RefSeq and is a predicted model, not a curated record.
CUGAGAUAGAAUUGCUAAAUAAUCACUGAAAUACUUCAAUAAUAGGAGAAGUGCUGGUUUUGAACACCCUGCAAUAAGAUGAAACUGAGACCUUGACCCCCCAAACUAUAAAACCUACACUUAUAUGUCGGUAGAUGAGUUUGAGAUCCGUAAGUAACUAAUAGCAGUUCAAAGUCUAGAUGCAGAGGAACAAGCUGCCUAAGUUCUCUGGGAAUUAUUUCUACAUUUAUAUUUUAUGUGACUUCUACAUUAUUUGAGGUCUGAGGGAAUAAAGUGCAGUCAAACAUUCUGUUGGACAGCUCCUUUUUUGAUACAGUAUGUGGGAAAAGAACUUUCAGAAAAUAUCAGGCUAAAAAGCCUGACCUAGAAGAACGAAAAAAGCAGAUAAGAGAGAAAAAAGGCAAAUAAUCUGGUCUGCAUCUUGUAUCCUAAGUGAGCUGUGACAGUAAUUUAUUCAAUCAAUCUGUUCAAUAUAUUAUUCUAACGCGGAAAUGGGCUAACCUGAGCUGCCUUGAAGUGGUACUGGCCAUAGCAGUAACGGAGGCAGCCUGCCCUGCUCCUAUAGUUCCAUAAUUGCUCCCUUGCUGCUCACUUGCCAUGACGACUUGUGGAGAUCUUUUGAGACGGACUCAAGCCUGUCAACAAACUUAUACUGGAUGUAUUGGAGAAGCUUACAGAAUAUAUUAAGUUCCAGAAAAUCUUACAGAACUAUACUAUUUUCAUUUCUAUACAAGCUAUGCUCAUCAUAGGCAGUAGCACUCUGGUAAGCUUUCCCCACAUGUUCCCAUCCAUACAGCUAAUAGAAACCAGUAACCGUUUUUUUAACGAGUAACAGUUUUUUCUGGGCAAGGAUUAUAUAAGGCAAGCCUUACUCCUACUCAGUGCAAUGCAGAGAGGCUGUGUUGGACUCAGGACCUCUUGGCAAAAAGUUGGGAGUACUUCACCACUGCGCCAGGCCUUCCCUUCAACUAUGGACUACAUAUAUGUCAACAUAAUUGUGCCUGCGCACUGUUGCGGGAACAUACAUCAGUACAAUAAUUUUCAAGGAUCGGUGAGCUCAAAAUCCGCAGACAACAAUACAGGAGACUGUUGACCAAUUCGUAUUUCGUCGUUCAUCUCCCCUUUGACUUACUUCCACUGCAUUAUAUAUACUCUAAAUCGUUCUAUCAUUCCCUUAUUAUAAUGGUCAGAAAUUGCAACUUUCCACGAAAACCUGUGUUAGAUACAGAGGAACAACAAAAAUUGUGAUGAAAAUGACCAUGCCGUAUCAUGCUUUAUGCUUUCCAUCCUCUUAUCCUACUAUCUCCUUGCUGUGAUUUUACAGGCGCAUAAAUCUUCAAAAGUGAGUAUGGGGUAUUAUUCAAAGACAUGCCCAACUGCAGAGCAUAUCAUUCAGACUGAGAUGGUGUGCAGUGUGUGCUGAUCCGCCUAGCUCUUGUGCUCAUUCCCUGCCUUUCAUUCUAAUGACUGCUUGAUGUAGGUUUGUUUCCUGUGUACUUAAAUGAAGGAAUCUGGUUUCACGAAUUCGCUGCAUUUGCUCACUUGGUUCUGAUCUAAGAACCACACAUAGAACGACUUUGCUCACCACCUUAUCUUUUCCCCUUCCCUUUUCUCAUCCACUUAUUCCACUUAUCCCUUCCGCAUGUUUCUUAUCCUCUCAGCUCUGUCGUCUUCUGUAGCAGCUUAUUUUCAAUGCCGUGUGAGAUGGAGAGACCGCCUGAUUCGCUGCCCUGCGCUGGCUAUAUGUGGCACCGCCACACUGGGCUAUGGCUGGCACUGCACCUGCGACAGCUGGCGAGCCACAGUGCCGCUGUGUCCAAGGCUCCUUCAUGGCGCAUCUGGACUCCCCAACAGCGAACCAGAAGCCCACCAUUGCGGGGCAUGACGGGACCCUUGGUGACGGGCCAUGACAGCCGAAUCCUGGCGCUCCCGUCGCGGGCUCGGCCGGAUCCGAGCACCGGCGAGGUCCCCGCAGCUGCCGUAAUCCGCAGUUGUGAAAUGGGCCGCCACAUCCACCACAUCCACAAAGGCUAAUUUGUUUGAAGUUUUUAUUCUUGAAUUUUUUGAAAGCUCCCCCAGAUUUUCUGAAAGUUGGGCCUAAGAUUUUCUGAUGUUAUGAAAGUUUGUGUGUGUGUGUGUGUGUGUGUGUGUUUCUGGAAGUUUAGUACAGUACGAAUUUCUGAACGAUGUGAGAAUUUAGAAAGUAUGAAAACUUCAUUUGAAUGUGCC